GCUCUCGUUCUAACCUCUGGAAUUAUCAUCAUCCAUUCACCACACCGGACUCUGGCUGUUUCCCCCUAAUGUACCACUCAGAUCUAUUCAAGAACGGAACUGUUCCCAUGACCUUCCCACUCCAGAAAAACAAGAAGAUCUUUUAACCUGUACAAUCUGAUCUUAAUUUGAAAAUAAAUACAAUUUCUUUAUGUG
Molecule: long non-coding RNA, 195 nt
Organism: Poecilia latipinna (sailfin molly)
Lineage: Eukaryota; Metazoa; Chordata; Actinopteri; Cyprinodontiformes; Poeciliidae
Exons: 2
Source: RefSeq, a predicted model, not a curated record